Molecule: long non-coding RNA, 1498 nt
Organism: Esox lucius (northern pike)
Lineage: Eukaryota; Metazoa; Chordata; Actinopteri; Esociformes; Esocidae
Source: Ensembl
UUUGAAGCAGAAGCACGUCCAAAGGUAAACAGUAACAGACACAUAUCCAAAACACUUCAGAUGAUGCAUGGUACUUGUAGAAUCCCCGUUCAGUGCGCAGAGAUUAAACUUUGGCUCCAGGAGAAUGCUGUGAAUAUCCUCUUAUGAAAGAGGCUGACUAAACCGCUGCCGCGCGCACACGUCUCUCUGUUGUUAGAGAGCGCAGCAGACGAAAGUGGACUGUUUAACUGAAUUCAUACGAAACAGCGUAAAUUCCUCUGCUCUCUCUCUCUCUCUCUCUCUCUCUCUCUCUCUCUUCCUUCCUAUAUUUUACACUUGAUUCCAAUAUCGUACUGUAUUCAUUUUGAAGGAACUCCAAAGACGGUUUAAAUCUCAGUAUGUUAUCUUCAAAUGUGACGGUUUGUAGGGCUACAUAAUGUAAUGGACUCCCCAACCAGGUGCAUAACGUGCUUCAACAGAGGUAGGCAACGUUCGGUCCAGCUUUUUGGGUGUGACGAGGUGGGGCCUGAUUAAUGGGUGUCAUUUAAACCUUUCGGCCAAUACGGGACCGUUUCGUUUUAUUUCAUCAUUGCACACCAUUCUGUCGUAGGCUUACCAAACGCAACCCGUUUGAAGCUACUUACCAGUUUUUCUGGACCUGCACGCUGCCAGUUGUCUCUCAGCAUCAGUUGCAUUAUGCACCGGCAGACCACCUCCUGCUCCAGUGCGCUGCUCCACCACCGCCUGGUUUCACCGCGUACCUACAAGCGGCCUGCCAUCGCCUCGCAUCAGCGUUCCCACAGCCAGGCUGACGAAGACCUCGGCACAAACGGUGCACUAUUUCCAAAGUAGUACCCUACUUGUGAUCGGGCCACCACACGAGAAAGGGAGUCAUUUGGUUCUCAUGCGUUGCGUUGCCCCAGAGAGGCCAAACCCGCCGGCUAGUCUCAGGACCUGUGCUAGUCCAUGAAUAGGCUGUUUCCGCAAUGACUCGCGUGAUGAGUCGGCGCAAUAUUAGGACAGUUCUAUUGACCGCGUGCUUUUCCACUUUGUCCCGAGGACCUCUUUUAUGUCAGUCAGCGUAUCUCUGCACGGCAAUGACAUUGUAGCAAAAUAGCAUGACUUUCUCUUCGCCUGGAUAGAAGGAACUUUUGUCCAGGAGAAGGCACAAUUCCAAGGGGCCUGUAAGGGUAAUUGCGAGCUUCUUUGUUUCUAAUAUGUAGAAUUUAGUAGAAUUAGGGGAAAGCCAGUGUUUUACUUCAAAUAACAGGGAAGACCUCCAUUCAAAAUCCACUACAUAAUGUAUGUUAUGUGAACUAAGUAUAAAUGAAUGAUUGCCAUGACUGAUUUGUGGUUGUUAAUCUAUGGUAGUUGUUCUAGACACUAAAUUACCAAAAUGCCGUUUUACAUGUACAAAUUAACUCUUUUAAUGCAUUAUGUGUAUUGUUAUUUUAAUGAGCUUUCAAAGUACCUUCUAAUGAAAUACACUGGACUGUGGUUGAGAAUAAAAUGAAACAAG